UCGCGAGAGCAAGCGGACCUCAUAAAGUGCGUCGUAGUCCGGAUUGGAGUCUGCAACUCGACUCCAUGAAGUCGGAAUCGCUAGUAAUCGUGGAUCAGAAUGCCACGGUGAAUACGUUCCCGGGCCUUGUACACACCGCCCGUCACACCAUGGGAGUGGGUUGCAAAAGAAGUAGGUAGCUUAACCUUCGGGAGGGCGCUUACCACUUUGUGAUUCAUGACUGGGGUGAAGUCGUAACAAGGUAACCGUAGGGGAACCUGCGGUUGGAUCACCUCCUUACCUUAAAGAA
Molecule: ribosomal RNA, 289 nt
Filed under: Salmonella enterica subsp. enterica serovar Derby
Lineage: Bacteria; Pseudomonadati; Pseudomonadota; Gammaproteobacteria; Enterobacterales; Enterobacteriaceae
Description: partial 16S ribosomal RNA
Rfam family: Bacterial small subunit ribosomal RNA
Source: RNAcentral